Molecule: long non-coding RNA, 312 nt
Organism: Diabrotica virgifera virgifera (western corn rootworm)
Lineage: Eukaryota; Metazoa; Arthropoda; Insecta; Coleoptera; Chrysomelidae
Exons: 2
Source: RefSeq, a predicted model, not a curated record
AUAAACACAAUGAAAUAAGUUCCCCAAAAUCUAAAAUGGAGUGGUAUCAAAGGAGAAUUAAACGAAAAAAUAUUCAUAUUGAAAUUAUUUAUAAGGCACUGGACUGUCUUAAAUUCUACAAUAAUACUAGAAUCAGCUGAGAGAAGUGGUCUACAAAAAACCAGGAAGGAAACGGAAUAUGUGGCUACGAAAGACAAAAGAAAGGUUUACAAAGCAAAUGUGACACAUUUUUUUGAAAUAUUUAGGAAUAUCAGUAAAUUGCAUUAAAAAAAUGUAUGAAAAGAUUUUGUUCAAUAAAAAUGUUUAUAUUUA